This 828-nucleotide ribosomal RNA is filed under the name uncultured bacterium. RNAcentral describes it as "bacterial SSU rRNA". It matches the Rfam family "Bacterial small subunit ribosomal RNA", at positions 65 to 911 of the family's 1533-position model. The record is from RNAcentral.
AGCGAGAGAGAGCUUGCUUUCUCGAGCGAGUGGCGAACGGGUGAGUAACGCGUGAGGAACCUGCCUCAAAGAGGGGGACAACAGUUGGAAACGACUGCUAAUACCGCAUAAGCCCACGGUGCCGCAUGGUACAGAGGGAAAAGGAGCAAUCCGCUUUGAGAUGGCCUCGCGUCCGAUUAGCUAGUUGGUGAGGUAAUGGCCCACCAAGGCAACGAUCGGUAGCCGGACUGAGAGGUUGAACGGCCACAUUGGGACUGAGACACGGCCCAGACUCCUACGGGAGGCAGCAGUGGGGAAUAUUGCACAAUGGGGGAAACCCUGAUGCAGCGACGCCGCGUGGAGGAAGAAGGUCUUCGGAUUGUAAACUCCUGUUGUUGGGGAAGAUAAUGACGGUACCCAACAAGGAAGUGACGGCUAACUACGUGCAGCAGCCGCGGUAAAACGUAGGUCACAAGCGUUGUCCGGAAUUACUGGGUGUAAAGGGAGCGCAGGCGGGAAGACAAGUUGGAAGUGAAAUCUAUGGGCUCAACCCAUAAACUGCUUUCAAAACUGUUUUUCUUGAGUAGUGCAGAGGUAGGCGGAAUUCCCGGUGUAGCGGUGGAAUGCGUAGAUAUCGGGAGGAACACCAGUGGCGAAGGCGGCCUACUGGGCACCAACUGACGCUGAGGCUCGAAAGUGUGGGUAGCAAACAGGAUUAGAUACCCUGGUAGUCCACACCGUAAACGAUGAUUACUAGGUGUUGGAGGAUUGACCCCUUCAGUGCCGCAGUUAACACAAUAAGUAAUCCACCUGGGGAGUACGACCGCAAGGUUGAAACUCAAAGGAAUU